Molecule: long non-coding RNA, 1637 nt
Organism: Culex pipiens pallens (northern house mosquito)
Lineage: Eukaryota; Metazoa; Arthropoda; Insecta; Diptera; Culicidae
Exons: 3
Source: RefSeq, a predicted model, not a curated record
UAUGUAAAAUAUUACAAGGAAUCAGGGAAAAAUAUUUUCAGACAUGGGCUCUUUGGUCCCGUGACCUUGAAAUCGGCAAAUGAAAUUUUCAUAGAACCUUUUCAAAUAUUCAGCUAGUUUUUUUGGACCUCAACAUAUUUUUGCUUAAAAGCCCAACUAAUAACCAUUCUUUUGAAUUGUGGCGCUCUAAAAUUGGUUCAGCCGUUCCGGAGAUAUGAAUUUUUGAAAAUUGUGGUUUUUGCGAAAAUCGACGAAAAAUGCCAUUUUUUGGACCACCCUAUUUCGGAUAGGACCACCCUAAGCGCCAAACAAAAAAAUACGGGUCUAAUUAUUUGGGCCAAGGAACCCCCACUCCAAAUUUGAGCCAAAUCGGAGCACUUUUGAUUUGGAGACUUCCUGUUUGACGUGGAAUGGCUGUAUAUACUUCGUGGUAACUCACCAAUUGUUGAAAAGGUAAUUAGCAAAAACAUUAAAAUUAACGAAAUCACUACAAGAAAAUAAAUUAAAUAACACAUGCACAUGAACAUUUUAAAAUUCAAUAAAUAGCAUGCAAAUAAAUAAAUUAAAAAAAUGAAUAAGUUUAUGACAGGGGCUCCGGAGCAAUUAUGUACAAAAGUAAAGUCAUGUGUGACUAUCCAUGAAAUAUUUCAACGUUGUCGGAGUUGCGGUUUAGUACACUAUCUCGAGAUCUCGUUAUCACCGUUGUGUCUGUGUGCAUGCGAUCUUAUCAGGGAACUCACAGAAUCUGUCAAUCAUCUGUCACUAAAAUGUGCUUUAAGAUGCUGUAAACAUGUGAAAAGUGUGUUGAGAUUUUAAUUGGAGAAUUUUUGGGUGCGCGCGGGGCGAAAAUUGGUUUUAUCAUGUUUAUUUUCGUACGAAAUUUAAUGGCCAUGUUGAUCUCUGUGGAUAACAACGAUUUUCGCUUGGUAAUCCCUGAAAAUUUCCUCUUAAAACUCAACACUAAACUCUAUGACUAUGAAAACCUUUUUGGAACGAUCCUUAAUUUGUCGUACGUCGUGUACCUAAUGACACCCACGUACUGGUUCCUAAGCGCGGUGCAUCCACUAUGCCACCUACUUUUUGGAUUUUCCUGACAUUUCCCGCCCGAACGCUGCAGACCUUCUUGGAGUUGACAAACUGGAGUAGUCGGUUGGUUUAGGAAAAAGAUCCUUUACGCCUUGAGAUCGGCAGCCGAGAACACGCCGAGGGACUUUCCGUUCAAGUCCGACACCUCGUACGAGCUGGUGCCCUUCUUACGGACGAUGAUGCACGGUGUGUACUGGGGUCCGAGCUUGGCGUUGUAUUGGUGUCCUGCCGACGACUGACGAAAGCUUUUUUUAUACACACGCUGACCCACAUCGAAACUUGUUGAGUAUCGCUGGUGUCUAAGGUCGUACUUCCGUUUAGUCUCCUCGUGAGCUUUUUUCAGCUGCUCUCUCACGAACUCAUAAAUUCUCUUCGUUACUCCGUCGAAUUUUUUCAUUCUCUCUUCCUCGCUGAGUUCUUGCUCCUUCUCAAGCCUGUGAUCCGAUCCCUUACUGAUGAUCUCGUGACCAAAAACGACGCAAUGCGGACUAAAUUUAGUCGUCGAGUGAAUGGUGUUAUUAAGCACGAACUCGAUUUCCGACAAUUUUGUG